This 497-nucleotide ribosomal RNA is filed under the name uncultured bacterium. RNAcentral's name for it is "partial 16S ribosomal RNA". It matches the Rfam family "Bacterial small subunit ribosomal RNA", at positions 28 to 507 of the family's 1533-position model. The record is from RNAcentral.
GACGAACGCUGGCGGCGUGCCUAAUACAUGCAAGUUGAGCGCUGAAGGUUGGUACUUGUACCAACUGGAUGAGCAGCGAACGGGUGAGUAACGCGUGGGGAAUCUGCCUUUGAGCGGGGGACAACAUUUGGAAACGAAUGCUAAUACCGCAUAAAAACUUUAAACACAAGUUUUAAGUUUGAAAGAUUCAAUUGCAUCACUCAAAGAUGAUCCCGCGUUGUAUUAGCUAGUUGGUGAGGUAAAGGCUCACCAAGGCGAUGAUACAUAGCCGACCUGAGAGGGUGGUCGGCCACAUUGGGACUGAGACACGGCCCAAACUCCUACGGGAGGCAGCAGUAGGAAAUCUUCGGCAAUGGACGAAAGUCUGACCGAGCAACGCCGCGUGAGUGAAGAAGGUUUUCGGAUCGUAAAACUCUGUUGGUAGAGAAGAACGUUGGUGAGAGUGGAAAGCUCAUCAAGUGACGGUAACUACCCAGAAAGGGACGGCUAACUACGUG